This is a long non-coding RNA of Sinocyclocheilus anshuiensis, 258 nucleotides long. RefSeq lists it as uncharacterized. The transcript has 3 exons. NCBI's taxonomy places the organism in Eukaryota, Metazoa, Chordata, Actinopteri, Cypriniformes, Cyprinidae. The record is from RefSeq and is a predicted model, not a curated record.
ACCAGACAAACGCCCUGCAGAUCCCAUCCAAUCCACAGACCCUUCAGAGCCACAUGCAGCUGCCGCCCGUACAGGGAAACAACAGGUUCAGGGUUCCUGUGUCGCAUCAGAUGUCUUCAGUACCCUUGUCAUCUCACCAAAACACUCCCAAACUCCCCAGAUACUCCAGCCAUCCCAGGACAUCCCACCCUGACAGUUUCUCUGCCGAUGUCCAGACCGUGUUCUCAUACGGUGACUCACCGCAGGCUGCCAAACACA